RNAcentral lists this ribosomal RNA (254 nucleotides) under uncultured bacterium. Its description in RNAcentral is "partial 16S ribosomal RNA". It matches the Rfam family "Bacterial small subunit ribosomal RNA", at positions 524 to 776 of the family's 1533-position model. The record is from RNAcentral.
GACGAACCGUGCGAACGUUAUUCGGAAUCACUGGGCUUAAGGCGCGUGUAGGCGGAUGGGUACGUCGGUCGUUGAAAGCCCCCGGCUCAACCGGGGAAUGGGCGCCGAAACGACCCGUCUGGAGGGACGUAGGGGGACCUGGAACUUCCGGUGGAGCGGUGAAAUGCGUUGAGAUCGGAAGGAACGCCCGUGGCGAAAGCGAGGUCCUGGACGUCUACUGACGCUGAGACGCGAAAGCUAGGGGAGCGAACGGG